CUAGGAUCUGCUACAUAAGCAAUUGGGCCCAUACCCCAAAAACGGUAAUUUUACCUCCUAGCA
RNAcentral lists this transfer RNA (63 nucleotides) under Japalura austeniana. Its description in RNAcentral is "Pseudocalotes austeniana tRNA-Met". The record is from RNAcentral. Lineage: Eukaryota; Metazoa; Chordata; Lepidosauria; Squamata; Agamidae.